Molecule: non-coding RNA, 73 nt
Organism: Bombina bombina (fire-bellied toad)
Lineage: Eukaryota; Metazoa; Chordata; Amphibia; Anura; Bombinatoridae
Source: the annotation of a RefSeq genome assembly
GCUGAAAUAUCUCAGUUGGGAGAGCGUUAGUUUGAAAAUCUAAAGGUCUUUGGUUCGAUCCCAGAUUUUGGCA